GGCGAACGGGUGAGUAAUGCAUCGGAACGUGCCCAUGUCGUGGGGGAUAACGUAGCGAAAGCUACGCUAAUACCGCAUACGCCCUGAGGGGGAAAGCGGGGGAUUCUUCGGAACCUCGCGCGAUUGGAGCGGCCGAUGUCGGAUUAGCUAGUAGGUGAGGUAAAGGCUCACCUAGGCGACGAUCCGUAGCGGGUCUGAGAGGAUGAUCCGCCACACUGGGACUGAGACACGGCCCAGACUCCUACGGGAGGCAGCAGUGGGGAAUUUUGGACAAUGGGGGCAACCCUGAUCCAGCCAUGCCGCGUGAGUGAAGAAGGCCUUCGGGUUGUAAAGCUCUUUCGGCCGGGAAGAAAUCGUGGUCUCUAACAUAGGCCAUGGAUGACGGUACCGGACUAAGAAGCACCGGCUAACUACGUGCCAGCAGCCGCGGUAAUACGUAGGGUGCGAGCGUUAAUCGGAAUUACUGGGCGUAAAGCGUGCGCAGGCGGCUCUAUAAGACAGAUGUGAAA
This 509-nucleotide ribosomal RNA is filed under the name uncultured Thauera sp. Its description in RNAcentral is "bacterial SSU rRNA". It matches the Rfam family "Bacterial small subunit ribosomal RNA", at positions 97 to 599 of the family's 1533-position model. The record is from RNAcentral. Lineage: Bacteria; Pseudomonadati; Pseudomonadota; Betaproteobacteria; Rhodocyclales; Zoogloeaceae.